GCAUUGCUGAAGAGUCCCACAAUAGGACGAAAGGGAGGUCCAGUGC
Molecule: non-coding RNA, 46 nt
Organism: Schistosoma margrebowiei
Lineage: Eukaryota; Metazoa; Platyhelminthes; Trematoda; Strigeidida; Schistosomatidae
Source: Rfam